AGGGCACCACCAGGAGUGGAGCCUGCGGCUUAAUUUGACUCAACACGGGGAAACUCACCCGGCCCGGACACCGGAAGGAUUGACAGAUUGAUAGCUCUUUCUUGAUUCGGUGGAUGGUGGUGCAUGGCCGUUCUUAGUUGGUGGAGCGAUCUGUCUGGUUAAUUCCGAUAACGAACGAGACUCUAGCCUAUUAAAUAGACGUCGGGUUCUCUGCACUCGACGGUCUUCUUAGAGGGACAAGGUGCUUUUAGCACCGCGAAACAGAGCAAUAACAGGUCUGUGAUGCCCUUAGAUGUCCGGGGCCGCACGCGCGCUACACUGAAGGAAGCAGCGUGUAACAACCUUGUUCUAACGAACUGGGUAACCCGUGGAACUUCCUUCAUGAUUGGGAUAGGGGUUCGCAAUUGUGCCCCUUGAACGAGGAAUUCCCAGUAAACACUAGUCAUCAGCUAGUGCUGAUUACGUCCCUGCCCUUUGUACACACCGCCCGUCGCUACUACCGAUUGAAUGGUUUAGUGA
This 519-nucleotide ribosomal RNA is filed under the name uncultured eukaryote. Its description in RNAcentral is "SSU rRNA". It matches the Rfam family "Eukaryotic small subunit ribosomal RNA", at positions 1161 to 1704 of the family's 1831-position model. The record is from RNAcentral.